CAGUCGCCACGGUAAUACGGAGGGAGCUAGCGUUGUUCGGAAUCACUGGGCGUAAAGCGCACGUAGGCGGCUAUUCAAGUCAGGGGUGAAAGCCCGGGGCUCAACCCCGGAACUGCCUUUGAAACUAGAUAGCUUGAAUCUUGGAGAGGCGAGUGGAAUUCCGAGUGUAGAGGUGAAAUUCGUAGAUAUUCGGAAGAACACCAGUGGCGAAGGCGACUCGCUGGACAAGUAUUGACGCUGAGGUGCGAAAGCGUGGGGAGCAAACAGGAUUAGAUACCCCCGUAGUCCCUGUCUCUUAUAC
Molecule: ribosomal RNA, 301 nt
Filed under: uncultured bacterium
Lineage: Bacteria
Description: partial 16S ribosomal RNA
Rfam family: Bacterial small subunit ribosomal RNA
Source: RNAcentral